AUGGCUGUUGUGUGUGCCUUCGCUCCCUUUUCACUUGCGCUAGACCCCCAAAAUGGCGGAUGGGGCCAAAAUCCUUUCCACGCCCACCCCCGUGACAUCACGCUCCAAAGCCCUAUGGUGAAAAGGAACCCCCCCGCGAAGAAGGUGAUAAGGGUGUGGUCUGAGGAAUGCACUGAGGCCCUAAGAGACUGUUUUGAAUGCACAGACUGGCAGGAACUCUGCAAGCCUCACGGUGAGGACAUCGACGCCCUCACCCACUGCAUCACGGACUACAUUAAUUUCUGUGUUGAGAACACUGUGCCUACCAAGAAGAUACAGUGUUUCUCAAACAAUAAACCGUGGGUCACCCCAGAACUGAAGGCCCUGCUGAACAAGAAGAAGAGUGCUUUCUGGUCGGGAGACAAGGAGGAACUUAAGAAAGUCCAAAAGGAUCUUAAAUACAAGAUCCGAGAAGGCAAGGAGUGCUUCAGGAGGAAGAUGGAAAGCCAACUCCAACAGAAAAACGUCAGAGAAGUCUGGAGGAACAUGAAAAAAAUCUCUGGAUACUUCCAGGACAAUGGAGGAGCCACAGUGUCUGCUGGCCGGGGGUGGGCUAACGACUUGAAUCUGUUUUUUAACAGAUUUGACAAUGGCCCACUUAUCACCUUUCCCACCCCCCAGGUUCCAUUGAUCAGGAAUACAGGGGGGGUGAUCAGUGACUUUGUUGGCUGGUGUGAGACCAACGUACUCCAAAUCAACGCCGGCAAGACAAAGGAGAUGAUCAUAGACUUCAGGAGGAAGUCACCCCCUACAACACCGGUGAACAUCAAAGGGAAAGACAUUGAGAUAGUGGACUCUUAUAAGUACCUGGGUGUUCACCUCAACAAUAAACUGGAGUGGACUACAAAUACAGACAUCCUGUAUAAGAAGGGCCAGAGACGACUCCACCUGCUGAGGAGACUGAGGUCCUUCGGAGUCUGCAGGACUCUGUUAAGGACACUCUAUGACACUGUGGUAGCAUCUGCCCUUUUCUAUGCAGUGGCCUGCUGGGGGAGUGGAUGCACAGACAGGGACAGGAGCAGGAUUGACAAACUGGUGCGGAGGUCUACCUCCGUGCUGGGAGGUCCCCUGGAGUCUGUGGGGGUGGUUGGCGAGAGGAGGAUGUUAGUAAAGCUGACAUCCAUCAUGAACAACCCACAUCACCCACUGCAUGAGUAUGUGAGUGGGCUGAGCAGCUGCCUUAGUCAGAGACUGAAACACCCUCGCUGCAGGAAGGAGCGCUUUCGCAGAUUGUUCAUCCCAACAGCAGUUAGACUCUAUAACUCCUCAAUCACGAUGUCAUAA
Molecule: long non-coding RNA, 1323 nt
Filed under: Oreochromis niloticus (Nile tilapia)
Lineage: Eukaryota; Metazoa; Chordata; Actinopteri; Cichliformes; Cichlidae
Description: lncRNA (ENSONIG00000033118.1)
Source: RNAcentral